CCCAAACAUUAAACAGAAGACAGCAUUAAAGGUUCUUCCUUGCAUUUUCUUCUGUUUUCUCUCUGUAUGUCUAUUUUUUAGGCCAACUCAACUUUUGAAGAACUGGAUCGAGUUAGGAAGCUGGUCAAAGCCUGGGGAGAAGUGGGACCCCAGAUCUGGUACUUCUUUGAGAAGAGCACACAGAUGACCAUGAUCAGAGAUACCCUGGGGCACCCAACAGUAAAAGACUUUAUUAAUAGGCAGCUUGGAGAAGAAGGUAUUACUACUGAAGCCAUAUUAAACUUCUUCCCUAACGGUCCCCGAGAGAACCAGGCUGAUGACAUGACCAACUUUGACUGGAGGGAUAUAUUUAACAUCACAGACCACUUCCUACACCUGGCUAAUCAAUACCUGGAGUGUCUGGUCCUGGAUAAGUUUGAAAGCUAUGGUGAUGAAGUUCAGCUCAUCCAACGAGCCCUGUCUCUCCUGGAAGAGAACAGGUUCUGGGCUGGAGUGGUGUUCCCUGACAUGUAUCCCUGGACCAGCUCCCUGCCUCCCCACGUGAAGUACAAGAUUCGGAUGGACAUAGAUGUGGUGGAGAAGACCAAUAAGAUCAAAGACAGGUGAUGGUUCAGUCAGGGUUAGCAGGGUAUCCCGAGAUCCACGGUGAAUUACAUGUGGCAGAGAGUGGA
RNAcentral lists this long non-coding RNA (671 nucleotides) under Cricetulus griseus (Chinese hamster). Its description in RNAcentral is "lncRNA (ENSCGRG00000025803.1)". The record is from RNAcentral. Lineage: Eukaryota; Metazoa; Chordata; Mammalia; Rodentia; Cricetidae.